This 135-nucleotide ribosomal RNA is filed under the name uncultured Clostridium sp. RNAcentral describes it as "partial 16S ribosomal RNA". It matches the Rfam family "Bacterial small subunit ribosomal RNA", at positions 373 to 527 of the family's 1533-position model. The record is from RNAcentral. Lineage: Bacteria; Bacillati; Bacillota; Clostridia; Eubacteriales; Clostridiaceae.
GGGCGAAACCUGAUGCAGCACGCCGCGUGAGUGAAGAAGGUUUUCGGAUUGUAAAGCUCUGUCUUUGGGGACGAUAAUGACGGUACCCAAGGAGGAAGCCACGGCUAACUACGUGCCAGCAGCCGCGGUAAUACA